UGCGUAGGGUGCGAGCGUUAAUCGGAAUUACUGGGCGUAAAGCGUGCGCAGGCGGUUCGUUGUGUCUGCUGUGAAAUCCCCGGGCUCAACCUGGGAAUGGCAGUGGAAACUGGCGAGCUUGAGUGUGGCAGAGGGGGGUGGAAUUCCGCGUGUAGCAGUGAAAUGCGUAGAGAUGCGGAGGAACACCGAUGGCGAAGGCAACCCCCUGGGCUGACACUGACGCUCAGGCACGAAAGCGUGGGGAGCAAAAGGG
RNAcentral lists this ribosomal RNA (253 nucleotides) under uncultured bacterium. RNAcentral describes it as "partial 16S ribosomal RNA". It matches the Rfam family "Bacterial small subunit ribosomal RNA", at positions 524 to 776 of the family's 1533-position model. The record is from RNAcentral.